AGUGAACGCUGGCGGUAGGCCUAACACAUGCAAGUCGAACGGCAGCACAGUAAGAGCUUGCUCUUACGGGUGGCGAGUGGCGGACGGGUGAGGAAUACAUCGGAAUCUACUUUUUCGCGGGGGAUAACGUGGGGAAACUUACGCUAAUACCGCAUACGACCUACGGGUGAAAGCAGGGGAUCUUCGGACCUUGCGCGAUUGAAUGAGCCGAUGUCGGAUUAGCUAGUUGGCGGGGUAAAGGCCCACCAAGGCGACGAUCCGUAGCUGGUCUGAGAGGAUGAUCAGCCACACUGGAACUGAGACACGGUCCAGACUCCUACGGGAGGCAGCAGUGGGGAAUAUUGGACAAUGGGCGCAAGCCUGAUCCAGCCAUACCGCGUGGGUGAAGAAGGCCUUCGGGUUGUAAAGCCCUUUUGUUGGGAAAGAAAAGCAGCAGGUUAAUACCCCGCUGUUCUGACGGUACCCAAAGAAUAAGCACCGGCUAACUUCGUG
This 492-nucleotide ribosomal RNA is filed under the name uncultured bacterium. Its description in RNAcentral is "partial 16S ribosomal RNA". It matches the Rfam family "Bacterial small subunit ribosomal RNA", at positions 29 to 507 of the family's 1533-position model. The record is from RNAcentral.